RNAcentral lists this antisense RNA (69 nucleotides) under Saccharopolyspora flava. Its description in RNAcentral is "ASpks TB sRNA". It matches the Rfam family "ASpks TB sRNA". Lineage: Bacteria; Bacillati; Actinomycetota; Actinomycetes; Pseudonocardiales; Pseudonocardiaceae. The record is from RNAcentral.
CUUCACCGACCCCAGCAGCAACGGCCGCUCCCGAUCCUGACCGUAGGUCGCCAGCAGCGCCUGCGCCUC